UACGAAGGGGGCUAGCGUUGCUCGGAAUGACUGGGCGUAAAGGGCGCGUAGGCGGAUUGUUUAGUUAGGCGUGAAAUUCCUGGGCUUAACCUGGGGACUGCGCUUAAUACAGGCAGUCUAGAGUGAGGAAGAGGGUUGUGGAAUUCCCAGUGUAGAGGUGAAAUUCGUAGAUAUUGGGAAGAACACCGGUGGCGAAGGCGGCAACCUGGUCCUUGACUGACGCUGAGGCGCGAAAGCGUGGGGAGCAAACAGG
Molecule: ribosomal RNA, 253 nt
Filed under: uncultured bacterium
Lineage: Bacteria
Description: partial 16S ribosomal RNA
Rfam family: Bacterial small subunit ribosomal RNA
Source: RNAcentral